Molecule: ribosomal RNA, 253 nt
Filed under: uncultured bacterium
Lineage: Bacteria
Description: partial 16S ribosomal RNA
Rfam family: Bacterial small subunit ribosomal RNA
Source: RNAcentral
UACAGAGGUCUCAAGCGUUGUUCGGAUUCAUUGGGCGUAAAGGGUGCGUAGGUGGCGCCGUAAGUCGGGUGUGAAAUUUCGGAGCUUAACUCCGAAACUGCAUUCGAUACUGCGGUGCUUGAGGACUGGAGAGGAGACUGGAAUUCAUGGUGUAGCAGUGAAAUGCGUAGAUAUCAAGUGGAACACCAGUGGCGAAGGCGAGUCUCUGGACAUUUCCUGACGCUGAGGCACGAAAGCCAGGGGAGCAAACGGG